GAUGAACGCUAGCUGCAGGCUUAACACAUGCAAGUCGAGGGACCGGCGCACGUGUGAGUAACACGUAUCCAACCUGCCCUUUACUCGGGGAUAGCCUUUCGAAAGAAAAAUUAAUACCCAAUAUAAAGGAUGGGGAUGCGUUGCAUUAGGUUGUUGGUAAGGUAACGGCUCACCAAGCCUUCGAUGGAUAGGGGUUCGGAGAGAAAGGUCCACGACAUUGGAACUGAGACACGGUCCAAUCUGGUACGGGGGGGAGCGGUGAGGUAGACUGGGGAAUGAGCGCUAGCCUGAACCAGCCAAGUAGAGUGAAGGAUGUAUGGGUAUUAGACGUCAAUUUCUUUUAUAGAAGAAGCUGUAUUAUAUGAAGAAGGAUCGGCUAACUCCGUGCCAGCAGCCGCGGUAAUUC
Molecule: ribosomal RNA, 406 nt
Filed under: uncultured bacterium
Lineage: Bacteria
Description: partial 16S ribosomal RNA
Rfam family: Bacterial small subunit ribosomal RNA
Source: RNAcentral